GCCACCCCAUCCCUCCAAAGCCACUGCACCAAGCCCCGCCGCCGUCUCACCGGCUUUCGCCGGACGCUGUACUCUCAGCUGCCACGGUCUCUGCCUUCCGAAGAAGUCGUUUCUGCUCCCUGCCUCUCACAGACUCUGGCCUCUCCGAGCAAACGGACAUACUAAGUUCCUUACCUCUGUUUUCCGCCCCUAAAAAACGGUGGUUCAGCCCCUCCUUGCCGUUGGUGAGAUCGCGCCGCCG
RNAcentral lists this unclassified non-coding RNA (241 nucleotides) under Hevea brasiliensis (rubber tree). Lineage: Eukaryota; Viridiplantae; Streptophyta; Magnoliopsida; Malpighiales; Euphorbiaceae. The record is from RNAcentral.